This 696-nucleotide ribosomal RNA is filed under the name uncultured Prochlorococcus sp. RNAcentral describes it as "bacterial SSU rRNA". It matches the Rfam family "Bacterial small subunit ribosomal RNA", at positions 680 to 1376 of the family's 1533-position model. Lineage: Bacteria; Bacillati; Cyanobacteriota; Cyanophyceae; Synechococcales; Prochlorococcaceae. The record is from RNAcentral.
GGUGAAAUGCGUAGAUAUCGGGAAGAACACCAGUGGCGAAGGCGCUCUGCUGGGCCAUUACUGACGCUCAUGGACGAAAGCCAGGGGAGCGAAAGGGAUUAGAUACCCCUGUAGUCCUGGCCGUAAACGAUGAACACUAGGUGUCGGGGGAAUCGACCCNUUCGGUGUCGUAGCUAACGCGUUAAGUGUUCCGCCUGGGGAGUACGCACGCAAGUGUGAAACUCAAAGGAAUUGACGGGGGCCCGCACAAGCGGUGGAGUAUGUGGUUUAAUUCGAUGCAACGCGAAGAACCUUACCAGGGUUUGACAUCCUGCGAACCUCUUAGAAAUUUGAGGGUGCCUUCGGGAAUGCAGUGACAGGUGGUGCAUGGCUGUCGUCAGCUCGUGUCGUGAGAUGUUGGGUUAAGUCCCGCAACGAGCGCAACCCACGUUUUUAGUUGCCAGCAUUUAGUUGGGCACUCUAGAAAGACCGCCGGUGAUAAACCGGAGGAAGGUGUGGAUGACGUCAAGUCAUCAUGCCCCUUACACCCUGGGCUACACACGUACUACAAUGCUACGGACAAAGGGCAGCAAACUCGCGAGAGCUAGCAAAUCCCAUAAACCGUGGCUCAGUUCAGAUCGUANGCUGCAACUCGCCUACGUGAAGUAGGAAUCGCUAGUAAUCGCANGUCAGCAUACUGCGGUGAAUACGUUCCCG